ACUCCUACGGGAGGCAGCAGUGGGGAAUAUUGGACAAUGGGGGAAACCCGUAGCAUCCAGCCAUGCCGCGUGUGUGAAGAAGGCCUUCGGGUUGUAAAGCACUUUCAGUGGGGAGGAAAGGUUGAUGGUUAAUACCCAUCAGCUGUGACGUUACCCACAGAAGAAGCACCGGCUAACUCCGUGCCAGCAGCCGCGGUAAUACGGAGGGUGCAAGCGUUAAUCGGAAUUACUGGGCGUAAAGCGUGCGCAGGCGGUCUGUUAAGCGAGAUGUGAAAG
This 276-nucleotide ribosomal RNA is filed under the name uncultured bacterium. RNAcentral describes it as "partial 16S ribosomal RNA". It matches the Rfam family "Bacterial small subunit ribosomal RNA", at positions 335 to 600 of the family's 1533-position model. The record is from RNAcentral.